UACGGGGGGAGCAAGCGUUGUUCGGAUUUACUGGGCGUAAAGGGCGCGUAGGCGGCCACCGCAAGUCGGUUGUGAAAUCUCCGGGCUUAACCCGGAAAGGUCAACCGAUACUGCGGGGCUAGAGUGCAGAAGGGGCAACUGGAAUUCUCGGUGUAGCGGUGAAAUGCGUAGAUAUCUGGAGGAACACCGGUGGCGAAGGCGGCAUCCUGGACCGACAUUGACGCUGAGGCGCGAAAGCCAGGGGAGCAAACGGG
RNAcentral lists this ribosomal RNA (254 nucleotides) under uncultured bacterium. RNAcentral describes it as "partial 16S ribosomal RNA". It matches the Rfam family "Bacterial small subunit ribosomal RNA", at positions 524 to 776 of the family's 1533-position model. The record is from RNAcentral.